RNAcentral lists this long non-coding RNA (3674 nucleotides) under Homo sapiens (human). Its description in RNAcentral is "long non-coding RNA NONHSAT117935.2". The stretch from base 2183 to 2286 matches the Rfam family "ZNRD1 antisense RNA 1 conserved region 3". Lineage: Eukaryota; Metazoa; Chordata; Mammalia; Primates; Hominidae. The record is from RNAcentral.
GUCUUUUAUACCAUUUAGAGUUCAAAGGAUGGUCUUUACAGUCUGACAGAGCUAGAUCUGAAAUCUAAUUCUACCACUUCCUAGGUGUGUGACUCAGGGCAAGUAACUUCUGUCAGCUUUCUCAUCUAUAAAAUGGAGAUGUAAGACAAAAAUCUGCCUCUCAGGGUUAUAAAGAACAAAUAUGAAUUAGAUGUAAAGAGCUUGGUAAGUUCUCAAUAAAUUCUAUCUAUCUGUCCUUCACAGGUCAAGCUCCUGAUUAUAAAGUCUUUCCAGUCUACUCUGUCAGUGAUCUUCCCUUCCUCUAAAUACUUGACAUAUUUUAAUUCUACAACUCAUUUGAAAAUUAAUCGUGGUUUACACUGUGAUAUCUGUAUUCACAUAUCACUUUUAACAUUUUGAUGCUGAAAUUUAGGCUCAUAAGGAAUGAAAACUGUAAUUUAUAUCUACAAAUAUGAUGCCUCUAUAUUGUUGGAAAGGAUCUGAUAUCAAAUAUUUGGUCUCACUGACCUCUUAGGAACAUUCUUAUUUGUCUACGUAAGCUUAUUUUGAGAUUGUAAACGUAUGAUCAUCUUACUUUUACUUCUCUGUACAUGGCUUCUAGCACAAUACUUAACAUUAGAGUCUGUGAUCCCAAGUUCUCAAAAUUAAUGAUUUGCUGAUUGCUGAUGAUCCUUGACACAUAAUAUCUGAGCAUCUUUUUUAAAUAUCUGCCAUAACAUUGUAUCUAUUUUUAUUAAACCAUUUCCCAGUCUUCCUUGAAGUUUACAGAUAUGUUUGCUUUAUAUGCAUGUUCUGGGCUCUCACAUUUUGUACCUACUAGCACAGUUUUAUUAUAUUCUAAUUAUUCAUUCAUGUUCCUUGAGGUCAGAGAACACAGAUUUCAACUUUGCAGGCUCAGCCUCAGCUCAAAACCUGGCAUAGUUGCUCAAUAAAUCUUUACUGAUUAGACUGUGAGCUUUUGUUGGGAAAAGGAUAUGCCUUUUAAUGCUUUGUUCCUUUACUGCAAUUCACAGGGGAUGUUGGCUGUUUUUCAAAUUAAAAACAGAAAACUGAGGAGGGUAGAAUUUCAAGUUCCAUUUUCAAAGGAGACACACAGAUAAGUGAGAAUAAAAACUGUCUACGACAAUCAGCUCAACAACACGUCUCCCUUUGUAAGACAGAAUAACAAGCAAUUUCACAGUUAAGUGAUAGGGCUUGUCACUCUUCAGCAGUUUGCUGAGUUUUAACCCUUUCACUAUGGCGUUCUCUCCAUUAUUACAGAGAAAGGCAGAUGGGAGCCUCUCCCAGCGAAAAGACUACAGCUUGUGUCCUUCAUAGGAGAAAACAGUGAUGGCUCCAGAACUUUUAUAUGAAUGAACUUAGCACAGCUAUCAGAGUGGAUGGUGGUGGGAGGGCUAGCAGGAAACUAGUAAACAACUACAAGCUGCCCCUUCAGGGAAAGUUUCUACUUGGAAUAUAAGUUACAGAUUAAUGAAAAUAGAAAGAUUUCCCAAAGAUACUUAUUCUCAUGUUUUAUAAAAGAUCAGGGAAAUGUCAGCUGUCCACUUAACGGAUGACGAUAAUGAAUUAAGAGUUCGAUAGGCGGCAGGCACAACUAAAAGCCAAACUCGACCUAAGUCUUAUGAAAUCCUACUUAAUGAGCUUUCUUGACUACUGCUAGCCUCACUUAUCUGGCAGGAGUCGAAGGAGAGGAAGCCCCAAGCUCCUCUGUUCCACCACCUCCAAAGUCCUGAACCCCUUCUCAAGUGUCCCACUUCAUCCCUGCUUCCUUUCGUCCCGUGGGACUAAGCAUUCCUCCUGCCCUCACUCUCACCACUUGCUGUCCCUCAAAAAGCCGACUCACCCCUUUCCAAGCGCAGUGAACCGUCCGCAAAGCACGAGGCCGGUUGCGAGCUGCAGAAAGCCCACGCUCGCCAGCGGGACCCAAGGAACGCUAGAACUAUACGUCCCAGAACACUUAGCUUUGUUUUUAACUACGGUGCAGCCGCAAAAGGGAAAUACCGGCUCAGGACCCAGGGGAGUUGUAGUUCUCUAAUCCAAAGAAAUCAUUAUUUGGCAACGUACGGUUUUCAGGGGGAUAUACCCCGCGACUGCGUUCCUGUAGGAUGUGAGACAAAGAGAAUAAAUAUCCCCGGAUUGGGUGCUGGUGGGAAAAUUUGCUGGAAGCGCAGCAUUGGUUACCAAUUUUGUGCUCAAUCUCUCAGUACCAGGGUGAAAGUGGAGACGCAAUCUCCCUUGAAAGACGUUAGUCUCCAUCUCUAACGCUCCCGAGACACGGUUCGCAAUUAAUUAUGACGUCACAGCCAAUCGUCAACGCGAAAGCCUGACGCUCUAGCCGGCUCUAUCUCGCUGCCCCGCCGCGGGCGCAGAGCUGGCGCUCUAGCCCACGGAGUUGGUUAACUCCUCUCACCGGCCCCUGGAAAGGGUUCCAAGUGCUUUAGUACCCGACGCUGUCUGGGAAUUCCGGGCGUUUCGGCUCCUUGGUCGCAGAGGCAGGAGGGCGUGCGUGGCAGGAGGGUUCGGGUUAUAUACUCCUAGGUCCUGGGACAGAAUAGUUACGACCUCUGGGACAGGAACUCUUCUCUCUUUUGUUAAUAAACUUCCAACUCCCUCCUCAGACCCGACCGCAUGUCUGUCAUGGACCUCGCCAAUACUUGCUCCAGCUUUCAGUCGGACCUGGAUUUCUGUUCAGAUUGCGGCUCGGUCCUGCCUCUGCCCGGGGCUCAGGAUACGGUCACCUGUAUUCGCUGUGGCUUCAACAUCAACGUUCGGGGUGAGAGGCUUGUACGCAGGGGUCCUGGCGGAGGGCGCAGGGUCGGAAGCUUGGGGAACUCAAGAUCGGUUGGGUUGAGGAGGGGAUCCUAGAGCAGGACAUCAGGCGGUUGUACAUUUGGUCUAGCGAUGAAAACUGAGGGAAAGGAUGUAGGGCCUCCUGGCCUAACCAGCCAGGGGAAAGGGGAGGUUUCCGGUGUCAGCUCUCUCUGGUUGUCUCCAUAACCAGUUCUUACUUGCCUGUGCAGACUUUGAGGGGAAGGUUGUGAAGACUUCGGUUGUGUUCCACCAACUGGGGACAGCCAUGCCUAUGUCGGUGGAGGAAGGGCCUGAGUGCCAGGGACCUGUGGUAAGCUAAUGAGAUCAAGAACUGGCUCCAUAAGGUGGGUAGGAAAGAAAUGGAGGAGUGAUUGCAAAGCUCUGGAGAGUUUUGUGCCCAAUUCCAAGAGGGAAAAGAGAUGUAAACCAUCGACGUUUGAGAGGCGUGAUCGCCUGAUUCCUGUGGGAAGUAAGGGGAUAUGACCAGGCCUCCCUAACCCACCAGUUUCUUCCCAGGUUGACAGGCGCUGCCCUCGAUGUGGUCAUGAAGGAAUGGCAUACCACACCAGACAAAUGCGUUCAGCCGAUGAAGGGCAAACUGUCUUCUACACCUGUACCAACUGCAAGUUCCAGGAGAAGGAAGACUCUUGACCUUUUUCCUGGGCAACUCUGCAGUCCCUCCCUCCUUUCGGAAGGUGAAGGAUACUGGGUUUUUAGAUGCCUUGUCCAUCCUGUCUGGUUGCAAUGUUUUGCUCCCAGAAGAGAAUCAGAUCAUCAUGUGGGGAUUACCAUUGUUCCUGGAGUACUCCUACCCUUAGUUGAAUUUCCUUAUUAAAGUUAUAUUUUUCUAUAAGACCCUGACA